CCACGCGACGUGCGGUGCUCU
This 21-nucleotide non-coding RNA is filed under the name Arabidopsis thaliana (thale cress). Lineage: Eukaryota; Viridiplantae; Streptophyta; Magnoliopsida; Brassicales; Brassicaceae. The record is from RNAcentral.